UUGCUUAUAACACAGACGGAAAAUAAAAUAUUGCUUACACUCGUCGUCAACUUCAACAUCGCAGCUAUUAUUUGUAGCUUUAUUCUGUCAAGUGGUUUUCCCUUUCAUCCCUUGUGAAAUCUGUUAAAUACGCUUUUGAUAUAUUUAAGAUGGAUACGCGUGUCCUGAUGUGCAUGGUAGUCAUUGCUGUGCUGCUGAAUCAAGCGGCCCAAGGAAACGCAUGCGACGUUUGUGGAAUACGACGUUGUCCGCCAGGUACGCGGUGUCGUCGCUAUGGCAGCGCAUUCAGGUGUAGUGGAUAUCAAGCGAUGGGGCGUCUUGCCCCGGUAGGUACUGGAAAUAAAGGCGGUGCUGGGGUGUAAUCAGUUCUGUGCAUUUCCGACCAAUCGGGUUAAUAUCGGAUGGUCCGUACAUCAGCUAUGUUUACUAUUAAACUUUGAUUGCAAUUGUACGCUUUGACUAGUGGUUUAUUCGCUACAAAAUAUAGUCGUUUAGAAUGUCAUUUCUGUUAAUAUUAGCAUAUACUAAAAAGAGCAUACAAUUUGUAAACAAUGUAAACACAUUACUUUAAUACAAAAUGUAUCAAGACAAAAUAAAAUAAUUAUAUUUUG
Molecule: long non-coding RNA, 611 nt
Organism: Dreissena polymorpha
Lineage: Eukaryota; Metazoa; Mollusca; Bivalvia; Myida; Dreissenidae
Exons: 2
Source: RefSeq, a predicted model, not a curated record